This is a long non-coding RNA of Papaver somniferum (opium poppy), 1471 nucleotides long. RefSeq lists it as uncharacterized. The record is from RefSeq and is a predicted model, not a curated record. Lineage: Eukaryota; Viridiplantae; Streptophyta; Magnoliopsida; Ranunculales; Papaveraceae. The transcript is spliced from 4 exons.
AUCGAGUUAUCCUACCCCUUUUUUUCUUUUCUUCCAACCCUAAGCGGUAUCUCCGAAUCAAACCCCAAGUUUUCAUAAAUCAAACCCUGUUUCUCCAACUCUAAACCCUAGAUUUCUACUACAGGAUGCUGUUUUAUAAAAUAUGCAACUUCCGAGGAUGCUGAGAGGGCUAUUAGAGCUUUGCACACUUAACCUGGGGGACGGGACCUAUACAAGUUAGAUAUGUUGAUGGAGAAAGGGAGCGCCUUGAAGCAGUUGAGCACAAGUUGUUCGUUGGGUUUAUGAACAGACACAUUGCAGAGAAAGAGUUGGUUGCGGCAUCCAAAUAUAGUACAAUACUAUGGGACUGAGACGGUAAGUAUUCGGCUGAUGGUUUCAAAAAUAUCAUACUUGUAGACUUCUUGUGAUUUCCAUCUGAUGAAUAUUUGCUUACUAUCGUGACAUUAACUCUUCAUGAAUUGCAAUAUCACGUUGAUUCUAUCCUCCCAUAAACAUGCUUUCUUAUAACUAUUCAAUCUCAAAUAAGAGAUGAUUCCAUACUUACUCUGUGCUAUGACUUGUGACAUUUCUUCCAUUUUGAGGAAAUUAAAUGGCAGCUGAUGCCUUGAAGAUUUUUCCUUUUUUUUUUGUCAACUGAUGGUCUAAUAUGUUUUUCUGGAAGAGGUAGAUGAUAGGCUUUUUAUCUAUGUGGAAUAUAUAUCUGGUGGCUCCAUCUAUAAGCUCCUUCAAGACUAUGGGCAGUUUGGUGAACUAGCAAUACGUAGCUAUACCCAACAAAUUCUUUCAGGGCUUGCUUAUUUGCAUGCAAAGAAUACAGUUCACAGGUACUCUCUUCUCAUUUUAAAACAUUGAGGGUAAUAAUGAUGUGGACUGUGGUGUCUAAUUUAUGUAAGUAAUGCAAUCCUUCUGGUUGAUGUCCUUAUUGCUGGCAAGACAACUGGAGAUAUAAAUAUAAAUGUUAUGAGGAAGCAGUUCUAUUUAGUUCAACUCGGAUCCUUAUAGCCAUUGGAGCUGGAGGUCAAAGAAACUCAUUACAUGAUCGGUGCUAUGGAUGGUUUUGGAAGUACCUUAGGUUUGGAGUUCUAAUCCUGCUCGUAAGGUGAGCAGCUCUAAAACCCCAGUUUGAAAGAGUUUUUGCAAGCGAAGGAUGUGACCAAUCGUUUCGUCAUAUGGAUAUUCGAAUCUAGUAGAUGACAAGAAAAUCCAGCAAUCUAUUUCUUUGUUUGUUGUUGCUUGAUUUGGAUCAGGUUCAUAUUUUUUGCAUGUAACAUCUCACAAAUCAAAUCAGUUUCAUUGAUAGAAGAUUUCGUGUGCAACCAGAACUGAUUUUAGUCAGAAUUCAAACUGAUAUAGGCUGAUUGAUAUAGCUUUUGCAUCUGUUCUUCUAUUUUCUAAUCAAGUGCUGAUUGUUUCUUGAUAUGUAACUUGUUCUUCAUCAUCUCCGCCUGCAAUUUCCGGUGUUUGUACUUAA